RNAcentral lists this ribosomal RNA (159 nucleotides) under Aphelenchus avenae. RNAcentral describes it as "5.8S ribosomal RNA". It matches the Rfam family "5.8S ribosomal RNA". From Rfam's summary of the family: 5.8S ribosomal RNA (5.8S rRNA) is a component of the large subunit of the eukaryotic ribosome. Lineage: Eukaryota; Metazoa; Nematoda; Chromadorea; Rhabditida; Aphelenchidae. The record is from RNAcentral.
UCAGUCUUAUCGGUGGAUCACUCGGUUCGUGGAUCGAUGAAGAACGCAUCUAAAUGCGAUAAAUACCGUGAACUGAAGACAUUUUGAACGGAAAGAUUUCGAACGCACAUUGCGCCUUAGGAGUCUCAUCCUUUGGCACAUCUGAUUCAGGGUCGCUUU